UCUCUGUGUUUUCACGAUAGCCUUCUACUUUUGUUAUGGAAAUUGUUCUUUAUUUGACUCCAUAUCUGCUUUUAUGUUUUCCCCGCCAGCUACCGCUGCUUCACUUAACAUAAGCUUCUGAAGCCACUAGCCCUUUUGAGGCCAUUUCUAUCUAUUACCAGAUAUUUGCCAAUCCUUCAUCUUCCUUCAUCUUCUCCAGAGGCCCUAACAAUAAAGGAGCAGGCCAUUUUUUUAGUACUAUCCAGUUUUAUAUAUACGUCACUCAAACCCACAAAAAUAACAGGCGAAGGAGAGGAGCACGGAAAACCACCACCACCUUUUUCUUCUUUUCAUACUUGCGGGAAAACACAGGAGAGUCUUUGAGCAAGAAAAUGUAUAGCAACGGAGACUCUUCUUCUCCGGAGGACUCCAAUGGCGAAUCAAAUGAAAAGGCUCAGAGAUCGAUCAGAGUUUGUUGCAGGUUUAGAUGGUCCACAUUGGACAGACAAACAUUUGCCUCAUCUGGAGAAUACAGGGCAAUGACUGACAUGUGAGCAACAUACCCACCAUAUGAUGCAUAAUAAACAGAUCUUUGCCAAACGGGCUGAAGAGCACGAAAGAUUCAUCAACAAGGUUGCACUGAUUGGGAGCUUUUUGGGUUGAUAGGUGACUUAUUUGUUGAGUGUUCUUGGGUUUGGAACAUUCUGCUUUCUGUUGGGUGCCAGGCCUCAAGAUGUCCCUUAUGCAUAUUGUUUGCUCUCUAUCAUAUUUGUUCCUCUACGGUGGAUUUAUUAUCGAUACAAGAAAUGGCAUUAUUAUCUCUUGGACUUCUGCUACUACGCCAACACACUAUUCUUGGUCAUGCUUCUUUGUUUUCCUAGAAAUGAGAAGUUUUUCAUGAUUUGCUUCUCUUUUGCAGAGGGUCCACUGGCUUGGGCACUGAUUGUGUGGAGAUGCAGCUUAGCCUUUAAUUCUUUCGACAAAAUUGUAAGCGUCUUCAUACAUCUUUUGUCUGGUAAGUUGGACAUCCUUCUCUACAAAAUAAGACAAAGGAACUUAAGAACCUUUUGAUCCAACUUCGGCCCUUCUUUUCCUUGAUCCCCAAAGCAAAAGCUGCAAAAAUUAUCUGUGGAAUUCUUGAUACGGUGGCCAAAAUACCUGCCGCAUCUGAUGUUCAGAUUGCCCUAUGCAAGGAAAUUGUGCAAUAGACACGUGAUGAGAAGUGAACUUUCCUUCGUUAGCGCACUGAGGCAAAGCUUGCAGCUCUAUUGAUGGAGACCAAGGAAGAAUCCGAAACUUUAGCUCUCCUUUCUGGACCAAUCAAGGAGGUUCAGAAUAUAGGAAAGCUUCAGCUGAGUCCAUUAAGUGCUCUUUUUAUCACUUGAAUUUCUUCAUUUCCAACCUCCCAUAACUCAAGUACUGAUUUACCUUGACAUCUUUGCUCAAAAAGCAUCCUUUAGUUGAUAAAAACUUCUUUUCCUGCAACUGCUUCAUAAUUUCAUACUACAGACCAGCUUUUAUGUAUUAAUUAUUUUUCCAGGACUUGGAACAACUGAAUGUUGAACAAACAGCUCAAGAAACUUAAGCACAUAAUCAAUAACUAAUAUGUUUCCUUGCUCCAAAUCAUUAUGUUGUCUCAAAAGUUGAGACAAGUCCAAAUCUAUUUGUUUAAGUUUUGUUUUACCUUCUUUUAUGAUAGCCAUGAUAUAAAAAAUGAUGCAGUGUUUCUUAAUGAGUUUGAAGACCAAAUCUGACUUAAAAAUAAAUAGGAAUGGAAUAAAAGAAAUGUAGGAAUCACAUCUAGGUUUUACUACUGUGUUACCAUUAAUUGCUCGAGUCUUGAUGAACUUUGAAUUCGAUAAGUGCAAUUCUAAUAAGUAUUAUUGACGAUUUGGAAUUCUACUUUUGGAGUUCGAAAGUUGGAGUCAAGUUAUGCUCCUAGAAUACAUGCUCUUUUUUUUUAGUGUCUUAUCAGACAAUUUCACAUAAUUAUUUAUCUAAAUGUUGAUGUUUGAAUAGUUUAUCUAGAAAAUUGCAUAAAAAGCGAUUUUUCUGAUAUGAUCUAGAGAACCAUUUCAUGAGUAUUGAACUUUGUCCCUUCUAAGUACCCCAAAGAACCUUACGCCCAGCCUUCUGCAUUUAGAUUGCGUAGAAUUCUAUGAUCCCCAAUUGUUCCUCGUUCUGGAACUGCUCAGAAUCUAGGUAACCUUGGGAAUGACUUUUGGUAAACGUAACAAGUCCCUCAUGAGAGACUGGUAUCAUACAAAAUAUGGAAACCAAUGUUUCAUUUCCAUUCUUUAACCUCCUUAUCAGAAAGAAAUAGAUCCAGCAUGGCAGACUGGUAGAAAAUUGAAAGUUUCAAGGAUCUAAAGGAAAACCAACUCAUAACUAAGGCUCUCAAUCUUAAUUUCUAAGAGCUAUCAUUUGUGUAAAUUUGUCAUCAGAAGAUUCAUAUUAUGUCCGAAGUAUUCUAGGUAGGAUGUUAUUCUUGAAUUCUGCCUUCAAAUAAAUCAUGGUUAGAUAAAUACUAAAUUUUGACUAUAAAGGGGCAUUGGUACUACAUAACUUAACUAUGCAUUUCUUUUUAACCAUGGCAUGCACGUCUUACUUAUUUUUCUAUUAUAUGCUUUUGUGUCUCAGCUAAAGCUAUAGACGAAUGUCCUGACCUCAAGACCAAGGCUGCUGAGUCAAAUAAAGCAGCAAAGAUAGAUUCAAGAUCAAAAUCCAUUGUUGAAAGGAUGCUUGAUAAAACUGGCUCACCCGGGCUACAAAUUAGGUUAAGUUUAGCGCAACAGCACUAUGAGAAACACAAGCAUUGUCUACUAUAGGGAAGGCAUAAAUCAGUUCCUGUGUGAUAGUCUAACAAGCGCUAAUGCUGAGCUCUUGACAGUUUAUGGAACAGAAGAAGCAACUGAUACACUGAUUGAGCAGAUAACUUGGGAUCAAGACCCCAUACUACGUUAUGGAUAAAUGUAUGCAUUUGCAUUGGCUUACAGUAGAAAUGCAAACAACAAGGCCAUUCGACAGCUGCUGCAUUUUGCUGCAUCAGAAUUGAGUGACAAUGUUAGGCACACUGCAGUUUUGGCACUGGAUUCAUGGUGCUGCAGAAAGGAAAUCAGAACUGGAGCUCUUUGAAUGGACUAAGCAUUUUGAGCUCAUGUGUAACACAUAGUUCACGACACAAGCCUGAACUAGCGUGUCAGUUAUUGCUUUUUUU
This is a non-coding RNA of Coffea arabica (coffee), 3196 nucleotides long. Lineage: Eukaryota; Viridiplantae; Streptophyta; Magnoliopsida; Gentianales; Rubiaceae. The record is from RefSeq and is a predicted model, not a curated record.